GGGGCAGUAGCUCAGUGGUUAGAGCGGCGGACUCAUAACCCGUUGGUCGCUGGUUCAAUCCCAGCCUGCCCCA
This 73-nucleotide transfer RNA is filed under the name Verrucomicrobiota bacterium. RNAcentral's name for it is "Verrucomicrobia bacterium (activated sludge metagenome) tRNA-Ile". It matches the Rfam family "tRNA". From Rfam's summary of the family: Transfer RNA (tRNA) molecules are approximately 80 nucleotides in length. RNAcentral also lists the same sequence under 1 other name. Lineage: Bacteria; Pseudomonadati; Verrucomicrobiota. The record is from RNAcentral.